AUUUUGGACUGCUAGCCUUCAGAACUGUAAGAGAACAAAUUCUUGUUUUAAGCCACCUAGUUUGUGAUACUCUCUUAUAACAUCUCUAGGAAACUAAUACAGAGAGAAAACAUAGGGAAAGAGAAAAUCAAUACCAGAUAAUACCACAUUGAUAAUCUUUUCAGCAGCCAAAUGGACUGAGCUUAUUCUUGAUCUGACAGUUUUUCCACUAACAUUUUUUCUAGUUCCUCCUUAAUUAGUCAUCUGCUGCCAAUUGGGUCUUUGGUUUUUAGUUUUUUCUGAAAACAGACCUUGAGCUCACAAGUGGUUUUGGUUGUUUUUUUUUUUUUUUUUUUUUUUUUUUCUUUCUUCUUCUUCACAUGUAGUAGCUUUCUGUGUGCCUCAUGCAUUCUUGAAUAAUAUGCUUGUUUGCCAGUAUAAAAAGAACAUGAAAUGGGCGGCCAUCUUCUCCCCACUGGAUGCUCUUUGUUUUGGAAAUAUCUCUUCAGGAUACUUCAUUAUUGGCUGGGCUCACUUCUCAAACCCCUGGGGAAAAGGAGCCAGAGAGAAGUUAUAAUUCAAGACCUGAAAUGGAAGAGAAGAAAAAAAAAAAAGAAGAAGAAGAAGAAAGUGGAAGGAAAGAAGGAAGAAAACAGCUAAUUAUUCAUUCAUUAAGUACAUACACCAAGUAUGUGCCCAGUUCCAUAAAGAUAAGAUUAAUAUCCAACAUUUUCUUUCUAUAGUCUCAUUGCUUUGUUGUUUUUGUUGUUCAGUAGCUAAUUUGUGUCUGUUCUUUGUGACCCCAUGGAUUGCAGCAUGCCAAGCUCCUCUGUCCUCCACUGUCUCCCAGAGUUUGCUCAGAUUUAUGUCCAUUGAGUCAGUGAUGCUAUCUAACAAUCUCAUCCUCUGCUGCCCCUUCUCCUUUUGCCUUCAAUCUUACGCAGCAUCAGGGUUUUUUCCAAAGAGUCAGCUUUCAUGGCUUAGCCCAGUACAUUACAUAUAACAGAUGCUCAAUAAAUAUUUAUUGAGUGAAUUAAGCCAUAAGGGUAGCAAAUAUCAAUGUUAAUGAAAAGAGAUUUGACUCAUAAUGGUGUAGAGAAUCUAAGGGAGAAAGUAGUGUCCCCUUAGGGGCUUCCCUGGUGGCUCAGACUGUAAAGAAUCUGCCUGCAGGAUUGUGGGAGACCUGGACUUGAUCACUGGGUUGGAAACAUCUCCUGGAGGAGGGCAUGACAGCCCACUCCAGUAUUCUUGCCUGAAAAAUCCCCACGGAUAAGGGAGCCUGGUGGGCCACAGUCCAUGGGGUUGCAAAGAUUCAGACCUGACUGAGCAACUAAGCACAGCACAGUGGCCCUUAGAGUAUCAUACAUAUGAAACUGGCCAGACUCAGUUAGAUCCCCCAGUUAGGGUAAGAGAAGUGCUUGGGCAACUGACCCACUGCACGUGUUACAGCAAAAUGCACAACACAUAAUGUUCAAGAACACUGGCUAUCUUUGGACCUCGUCCAGGCAAAGCUGGUAGUAAGAGACUAAAAUAGAGCAAUAUAACCAGGGAGAUAGCCAGACCAUGGAUAGUCCAACAGCUGUUAACAUAGUGUGUGCCAUGGGAAUGUAUAUACGUCACAGAAGGAUUUCUAUACAAAUGUACAGAUAUCUUUUUCUAAAUAUUUCAGUACUGUUGAGAGAUUAGUAUUGGACAUAUUCACUCUUUUUUACAUCAUAGAUAUAUGUUUUACCAGAUGCAUUUAAAGAAAAAUGUUUGUGUGCUAAGUUGCUUCAGUCGUGUCUGAUCUUUGCAGCCCUAUGGACCAUAGCCUGCCAGGCUCCUCUGUCCAUGGGAUUCUCCAGGCAAGAAUACUGGAGUGGAUUGCCAUGCCCUCCUCCAGGGGAUCUUCCCAACCUAGGGAUUUGAACCCACAUCUCUACGUUUCCUGCAUUGGCAGGCAGCUUCUUUACCACUAGUGCCACCUGGGAAGCCCAUAAAGAAAAAUAUAAAAUUUAUUUUAAAUUGUGAAAACAUUUACUUUGAAAUAAUUUUAGACAAAGUUGCAAAAAUAGUACAGAGUUCCUAUAGAAUCUUUGCCCAGU
RNAcentral lists this long non-coding RNA (2063 nucleotides) under Ovis aries (sheep). RNAcentral describes it as "lncRNA (ENSOARG00000026577.1)". Lineage: Eukaryota; Metazoa; Chordata; Mammalia; Artiodactyla; Bovidae. The record is from RNAcentral.